RNAcentral lists this ribosomal RNA (91 nucleotides) under Bryonia cretica. RNAcentral's name for it is "partial 25S ribosomal RNA". It matches the Rfam family "Eukaryotic large subunit ribosomal RNA", at positions 1 to 92 of the family's 3401-position model. Lineage: Eukaryota; Viridiplantae; Streptophyta; Magnoliopsida; Cucurbitales; Cucurbitaceae. The record is from RNAcentral.
GACCCCAGGCCUGGCAGGACUACCCGCUAAGUUGAAGCAUAUAAUUAAGCGGAGGAAAAGAAACUUACAAGGAUUCCUCUAGUAACGGCGA